Molecule: ribosomal RNA, 455 nt
Filed under: Mauremys japonica (Japanese pond turtle)
Lineage: Eukaryota; Metazoa; Chordata; Testudines; Geoemydidae
Description: partial 16S rRNA
Rfam family: Bacterial large subunit ribosomal RNA
Source: RNAcentral
UGUCUUUUAAAUAAAGACUAGAAUGAAUGGCCAAACGAGGUUCUACCUGUCUCUUAUGAAUAAUCAGUGAAAUUGAUCUUCCUGUGCAAAAGCAGGAAUAACAUUAUAAGACGAGAAGACCCUGUGGAACUUCAAAUACAAAUCAACUAUUACCGAUACCCGCCUACGGGCCCAUAUCAAACCAGCAUAUGAUUUAUAUUUUCGGUUGGGGCGACCUCGGAGUAAAAUAAAACCUCCGAAAAAAGAAUUAUCUCUAAACCUAGACCUACCCCCCAAAGUGCUCCCGGCAAAACGAUCCAAUAUAAUUGAUCAACGAACCAAGCUACCCCAGGGAUAACAGCGCAAUCCCAUCCUAGAGUCCCUAUCGACGAUGGAGUUUACGACCUCGAUGUUGGAUCAGGACAUCCUGAUGGUGCAGCCGCUAUCAAGGGUUCGUUUGUUCAACGAUUAAUAGU